This 586-nucleotide ribosomal RNA is filed under the name Bacillus subtilis. RNAcentral describes it as "bacterial SSU rRNA". It matches the Rfam family "Bacterial small subunit ribosomal RNA", at positions 555 to 1141 of the family's 1533-position model. Lineage: Bacteria; Bacillati; Bacillota; Bacilli; Caryophanales; Bacillaceae. The record is from RNAcentral.
UGGGCGUAGAGGGCUCGCAGGCGGUUUCUUAAGUCUGAUGUGAAAGCCCCCGGCUCAACCGGGGAGGGUCAUUGGAAACUGGGAAACUUGAGUGCAGAAGAGGAGAGUGGAAUUCCACGUGUAGCGGUGAAAUGCGUAGAGAUGUGGAGGAACACCAGUGGCGAAGGCGACUCUCUGGUCUGUAACUGACGCUGAGGAGCGAAAGCGUGGGGAGCGAACAGGAUUAGAUACCCUGGUAGUCCACGCCGUAAACGAUGAGUGCUAAGUGUUAGGGGGUUUCCGCCCCUUAGUGCUGCAGCUAACGCAUUAAGCACUCCGCCUGGGGAGUACGGUCGCAAGACUGAAACUCAAAGGAAUUGACGGGGGCCCGCACAAGCGGUGGAGCAUGUGGUUUAAUUCGAAGCAACGCGAAGAACCUUACCAGGUCUUGACAUCCUCUGACAACCCUAGAGAUAGGGCUUUCCCUUCGGGGACAGAGUGACAGGUGGUGCAUGGUUGUCGUCAGCUCGUGUCGUGAGAUGUUGGGUUAAGUCCCGCAACGAGCGCAACCCUUGAUCUUAGUUGCCAGCAUUUAGUUGGGCACUCU